ACAGUCACCACCUCCCUCACUCUGUCACUAGUCACCCCCUCACUCUAGUGACAAUGAGGGAGGGGGUGACUGGUGACAGAGUGAGGGAGGGAAGUGGUGACUAGUGACAGAGUUAGGGAGGGAAGGGGUGACUAGUGACAGAGGGAGGGGUGACUAGGGACAGAGUGAGGGAGGUGGUGACUAGUGACAGUCACCACCUCCCUCACUCUGUCACUGUGUCACCCCCUCCCUCUGUCACUGGUCACCCACUCCCUCCCUCACUCUGUCACUAAUCAUCCCCUCACUCUGUCACUAGUCACCCUCUCCCUCACUCUGUCACUACUCACACCCUCCCUCACUCUGUCACUAGAGUGA
Non-coding RNA from Pelobates cultripes (western spadefoot toad), 354 nucleotides. The record is from the annotation of a GenBank genome assembly. Lineage: Eukaryota; Metazoa; Chordata; Amphibia; Anura; Pelobatidae.